RNAcentral lists this ribosomal RNA (779 nucleotides) under Bacillus paralicheniformis. Its description in RNAcentral is "bacterial SSU rRNA". It matches the Rfam family "Bacterial small subunit ribosomal RNA", at positions 95 to 857 of the family's 1533-position model. Lineage: Bacteria; Bacillati; Bacillota; Bacilli; Caryophanales; Bacillaceae. The record is from RNAcentral.
GCGGCGGACGGGUGAGUAACACGUGGGUAACCUGCCUGUAAGACUGGGAUAACUCCGGGAAACCGGGGCUAAUACCGGAUGCUUGAUUGAACCGCAUGGUUCAAUUAUAAAAGGUGGCUUUUAGCUACCACUUACAGAUGGACCCGCGGCGCAUUAGCUAGUUGGUGAGGUAACGGCUCACCAAGGCAACGAUGCGUAGCCGACCUGAGAGGGUGAUCGGCCACACUGGGACUGAGACACGGCCCAGACUCCUACGGGAGGCAGCAGUAGGGAAUCUUCCGCAAUGGACGAAAGUCUGACGGAGCAACGCCGCGUGAGUGAUGAAGGUUUUCGGAUCGUAAAACUCUGUUGUUAGGGAAGAACAAGUACCGUUCGAAUAGGGCGGUACCUUGACGGUACCUAACCAGAAAGCCACGGCUAACUACGUGCCAGCAGCCGCGGUAAUACGUAGGUGGCAAGCGUUGUCCGGAAUUAUUGGGCGUAAAGCGCGCGCAGGCGGUUUCUUAAGUCUGAUGUGAAAGCCCCCGGCUCAACCGGGGAGGGUCAUUGGAAACUGGGGAACUUGAGUGCAGAAGAGGAGAGUGGAAUUCCACGUGUAGCGGUGAAAUGCGUAGAGAUGUGGAGGAACACCAGUGGCGAAGGCGACUCUCUGGUCUGUAACUGACGCUGAGGCGCGAAAGCGUGGGGAGCGAACAGGAUUAGAUACCCUGGUAGUCCACGCCGUAAACGAUGAGUGCUAAGUGUUAGAGGGUUUCCGCCCUUUAGUGCUGCAGCAAACG